This is a small nucleolar RNA of Mesocricetus auratus (golden hamster), 99 nucleotides long. The record is from Ensembl. Lineage: Eukaryota; Metazoa; Chordata; Mammalia; Rodentia; Cricetidae.
UCUGUUCCAUGUACUUAAGUUGAUGGCAGAGAGGAGAGAGACUAUGUCUGUGCUCAGUGUUCUGAACAAUGAACAUUUGAGGGACUGUAGCUUGACAUU